RNAcentral lists this non-coding RNA (410 nucleotides) under Dictyomenia sonderi. Lineage: Eukaryota; Rhodophyta; Florideophyceae; Ceramiales; Rhodomelaceae. The record is from RNAcentral.
GGGACUGAAAGGAUUUCUACAUUUUGAUAUUUUAAUUAUGUUUUAUUUGACUAAUUCAACUUAUUAAUUUUUUAUACAUUUGAUAUAUUUGUUUUUGAUAAUAUUAAAGAUGGAAAAAUAUUAAUAAUUGUAAUUUAAUUGCAAAGCACAAUAUUAUAUCUUUUUCUAAAAAUUUGGUAAUAGCAUAAAUUAUUAGAAUUUUAAAUUGUAUUUUCUUGAUUCAAUUUAUCUAUUCAUUUCAAGAAUGCUCUAAUUGUUAAAGUGUAGUUUGAGCUUGUUUGAUUAUUUAUUUUCAAUUAGUAAAGUAUAAAUGGUCUUAAUUUAAAAGUUCAGUAAAAAUUUAUUAGUUAAAUGGUACCAACUUAAUUUUUAUAUCAAUAUGGACGUGGGUUCAAAUCCCACCAGUUCCA